Long non-coding RNA from Neofelis nebulosa (Clouded leopard), 436 nucleotides. RefSeq lists it as uncharacterized. The record is from RefSeq and is a predicted model, not a curated record. The transcript is spliced from 3 exons. Lineage: Eukaryota; Metazoa; Chordata; Mammalia; Carnivora; Felidae.
UACAUACAGAAGAAACGAAUAAAUAAGAGAAAGAAAGAAAGAAAGAAAGAAAGAAAGAAAGAAAGAAAGAAAGAAAGAAAGAGAAAGAGCAAAAUUUAUCCAACUUACAUAAAAUGGAAUCUUUUUUAAAUCUUUACUUUGAAAUGAAGAUGCAGUUUUUAGGAGGCUUCCAGCCAAUCAUGACAGGAGAAGGCCGAUGACACCUGUCAGUGCCCACAAUGGAAAGAGCAGAGCUGCUCUACAAUACAGUGCACCAAGCAGGAAAGAGGACAGUCCGGAAAGACCACACUCUCCCCACCCUCAAUUAAAGAGGGGAAUCAUCUGGUGUUUGAAAGAUACUAUUUAAUAUACGGUAUCUAUAGACUGUGAAGUAACAAAGGAUCUAAAUGAGAAGUCAAGUGAACGAAAAAGCCCAGACUAGAGUUAAAAAUAAAAU